UGAGACAGGUGCUGCAUGGCUGUCGUCAGCUCGUGUUGUGAAAUGUUGGGUUAAGUCCCGCAACGAGCGCAACCCUUAUCCUUUGUUGCCAGCGCGUGAUGGCGGGAACUCAAAGGAGACUGCCGGUGAUAAACCGGAGGAAGGUGGGGAUGACGUCAAGUCAUCAUGGCCCUUACGAGUAGGGCUACACACGUGCUACAAUGGCGCAUACAAAGAGAAGCGACCUCGCGAGAGCAAGCGGACCUCACAAAGUGCGUCGUAGUCCGGAUCGGAGUCUGCAACUCGACUCCGUGAAGUCGGAAUCGCUAGUAAUCG
Molecule: ribosomal RNA, 315 nt
Filed under: Erwinia sp. SB25
Lineage: Bacteria; Pseudomonadati; Pseudomonadota; Gammaproteobacteria; Enterobacterales; Erwiniaceae
Description: bacterial SSU rRNA
Rfam family: Bacterial small subunit ribosomal RNA
Source: RNAcentral